CGGAGGUCCCAAGCGUUGUUCGGAUUCACUGGGCGUAAAGGGUGCGUAGGCGGUCGGGUAAGUCUGAUGUGAAAUCUUCAAGCUCAACUUGGAAACUGCAUCGGAUACUAUUCGGCUAGAGGAAUGGAGGGGAGACUGGAAUACUUGGUGUAGCAGUGAAAUGCGUAGAUAUCAAGUGGAACACCAGUGGCGAAGGCGAGUCUCUGGACAUUUCCUGACGCUGAGGCACGAAAGCCAGGGGAGCAAACGGGAUUAGAUACCCCGGUAGUCCUGGCCCUAAACGGUGCGCAUUUGCUGUAAGAGGAAUCGACCCCUUUUGUGGCGAAGCUAACGCGAUAAAUGCGCCGCCUGGGAAGUACGGCCGCAAGGUUA
Molecule: ribosomal RNA, 372 nt
Filed under: uncultured organism
Description: bacterial SSU rRNA
Rfam family: Bacterial small subunit ribosomal RNA
Source: RNAcentral